CACCGGGCUUUAUCGAAGACCGUUUGGCGUUAUACACACUGCGUUAACUGGUUCAAAAUGAAGCCCAAAGCAAUUUUUGAUACGACGGUCUCUGAUCUGAGCAUUAACAGCCGUUUCAGUAACUUUACGUACAAUUACAAAC
Small nucleolar RNA from Drosophila innubila, 142 nucleotides. The record is from RefSeq and is a predicted model, not a curated record. Lineage: Eukaryota; Metazoa; Arthropoda; Insecta; Diptera; Drosophilidae.